GAAAUGAAUUUAUAAUGUUGAUUUCUAUGGCGCUCACAGACACAUCCAUAUCACUCCAUACAGAUGAAGGUGGUCAUUUUAAAUGCAGAGUGAUUUAUUUUGCAAAAUGACGACAAAUAAAAGCUAAAACUGGAUCACAAAUUGAUGCUGCUCACUUGUGAAUGAAUAAAAUUCCUACUUUGUAA
Long non-coding RNA from Thalassophryne amazonica, 185 nucleotides. RefSeq lists it as uncharacterized. The record is from RefSeq and is a predicted model, not a curated record. NCBI's taxonomy places the organism in Eukaryota, Metazoa, Chordata, Actinopteri, Batrachoidiformes, Batrachoididae. The transcript has 2 exons.